UGGGGAAUUUUGGACAAUGGGCGAAAGCCUGAUCCAGCAAUGCCGCGUGUGUGAAGAAGGCCUUCGGGUUGUAAAGCACUUUUGUCCGGAAAGAAAUCCUUGGCUCUAAUACAGUCGGGGGAUGACGGUACCGGAAGAAUAAGCACCGGCUAACUACGUGCCAGCAGCCGCGGUAAUACGUAGGGUGCAAGCGUUAAUCGGAAUUACUGGGCGUAAAGCGUGCGCAGGCGGUUUGCUAAGACCGAUGUGAAAUCCCCGGGCUCAACCUGGGAACUGCAUUGGUGACUGGCAGGCUAGAGUAUGGCAGAGGGGGGUAGAAUUCCACGUGUAGCAGUGAAAUGCGUAGAGAUGUGGAGGAAUACCGAUGGCGAAGGCAGCCCCCUGGGCCAAUACUGACGCUCAUGCACGAAAGCGUGGGGAGCAAACAGGAUUAGAUACCCUGGUAGUCCACGCCCUAAACGAUGUCAACUAGUUGUUGGGGACUUCAUUUUCCUUAGUAACGUAGCUAACGCGUGAAGUUGACCGCCUGGGGAGUACGGUCGCAAGAUUAAAACUUAAAUGAAUUGAC
RNAcentral lists this ribosomal RNA (568 nucleotides) under uncultured bacterium. Its description in RNAcentral is "partial 16S ribosomal RNA". It matches the Rfam family "Bacterial small subunit ribosomal RNA", at positions 355 to 914 of the family's 1533-position model. The record is from RNAcentral.